RNAcentral lists this long non-coding RNA (277 nucleotides) under Elaeis guineensis (African oil palm). RNAcentral's name for it is "long non-coding RNA (EGUI_LNC039999)". Lineage: Eukaryota; Viridiplantae; Streptophyta; Magnoliopsida; Arecales; Arecaceae. The record is from RNAcentral.
GCCCCAUAAUUUUGUUUUUUAAUUUUGGUGCGUGACAUUAAAGAAAAAUUGAUGGAAAUCGAAGAGAUAUCAAGUGACUUAAAGAAGAAGGACUCUCCAUCCUCCUUAAUGCACAAAAGGAGUGGGUGGCAUUUAUUUUUAGCAUGGACACUAGGUGGCAUGGAGGAGUCCUUCCACACUUGAAACACUUCCAAAUUAGGUAGGAAUCUAAUUAAAAUAGACCUAAUCCAAUCAGGUCAAAGGCAAUAGGUUUGGUUUAGCUCAAACACUUUGAACU